GCUUACCAUGCAAGUCGAACGAUGAUGCCCAGCUUGCUGGGUGGAUUAGUGGCGAACGGGUGAGUAACACGUGAGUAACCUGCCCCUGACUCUGGGAUAAGCGUUGGAAACGACGUCUAAUACUGGAUAUGAUCACUGGCCGCAUGGUCUGGUGGUGGAAAGAUUUUUUGGUUGGGGAUGGACUCGCGGCCUAUCAGCUUGUUGGUGAGGUAAUGGCUCACCAAGGCGACGACGGGUAGCCGGCCUGAGAGGGUGACCGGCCACACUGGGACUGAGACACGGCCCAGACUCCUACGGGAGGCAGCAGUGGGGAAUAUUGCACAAUGGGCGAAAGCCUGAUGCAGCAACGCCGCGUGAGGGAUGACGGCCUUCGGGUUGUAAACCUCUUUUAGUAGGGAAGAAGCGAAAGUGACGGUACCUGCAGAAAAAGCACCGGCUAACUACGUGCCAGCAGCCGCGGUAAUACGUAGGGUGCAAGCGUUGUCCGGAAUUAUUGGGCGUAAAGAGCUCGUAGGCGGUUUGUCGCGUCUGCUGUGAAAUCCCGAGGCUCAACCUCGGGCUUGCAGUGGGUACGGGCAGACUAGAGUGCGGUAGGGGAGAUUGGAAUUCCUGGUGUAGCGGUGGAAUGCGCAGAUAUCAGGAGGAACACCGAUGGCGAAGGCAGAUCUCUGGGCCGUAACUGACGCUGAGGAGCGAAAGCAUGGGGAGCGAACAGGAUUAGAUACCCUGGUAGUCCAUGCCGUAAACGUUGGGCGCUAGAUGUAGGGACCUUUCCACGGUUUCUGUGUCGUAGCUAACGCAUUAAGCGCCCCGCCUGGGGAGUACGGCCGCAAGGCUAAAACUCAAAUGAAUUGACGGGGGCCCGCACAAGCGGCGGAGCAUGCGGAUUAAUUCGAUGCAACGCGAAGAACCUUACCAAGGCUUGACAUACACCGGAAACGGCCAGAGAUGGUCGCCCCCUUGUGGUCGGUGUACAGGUGGUGCAUGGUUGUCGUCAGCUCGUGUCGUGAGAUGUUGGGUUAAGUCCCGCAACGAGCGCAACCCUCGUUCUAUGUUGCCAGCGGGUUAUGGCGGGGACUCAUAGGAGACUGCCGGGGUCAACUCGGAGGAAGGUGGGGAUGACGUCAAAUCAUCAUGCCCCUUAUGUCUUGGGCUUCACGCAUGCUACAAUGGCCGGUACAAAGGGCUGCGAUACCGUAAGGUGGAGCGAAUCCCAAAAAGCCGGUCUCAGUUCGGAUUGAGGUCUGCAACUCGACCUCAUGAAGUCGGAGUCGCUAGUAAUCGCAGAUCAGCAACGCUGCGGUGAAUACGUUCCCGGGCCUUGUACACACCGCCCGUCAAGUCAUGAAAGUCGGUAACACCCGAAGCCGGUGGCCUAACCCUUGUGGAAGGAGCCGUCGAAGGUGGGAUCGGUGAUUAGGACUAAGUCGUAACAAGGUAAACCGUAA
RNAcentral lists this ribosomal RNA (1448 nucleotides) under uncultured Curtobacterium sp. RNAcentral's name for it is "bacterial SSU rRNA". It matches the Rfam family "Bacterial small subunit ribosomal RNA". The record is from RNAcentral. Lineage: Bacteria; Bacillati; Actinomycetota; Actinomycetes; Micrococcales; Microbacteriaceae.